CGGAAGCGGGGCGGGGGCGCAGGCUCCUAGGGCUUUUGUUGCCGGGUGCAUGGGCGCAGGGCCGAGGGUGGCAGGGCACGCCACUUCCGUGCGCUGCGUGCGCCGUGCGCUACGUGCGCACGACGAGCGGGAAUUAAAGAUUACGGCUAGACUCGCCCCUGGCUCCGCCCCCUAGGAGCCCCGCCUAGGGGUUUCCAUGGUGAUGAUAAAUUAGCCUAAAAUGCCUCAGCUAGGCCUCCGCGUUCCGUCCUCUAGGUGCUCAGAGGGACGACCGAGGUGCUGGGUGUGUAUAAGAGCGGGAGGGUGGAGAUUCGAAACCCGAGCUGAGGGGUGGGACGGGAAGCGUGUUCGAGACCAGCACCCCUUGACCAACUGGGGACUCUGGGGGUAGGGACAGCGGGUCUGCGAUUUGGGAUGGGGGCGGAGUCGUUCUUUGCAGAGGCAGCAAAGAGUAUCCUUGGCUUCAGUGGAGGAGUCUCCAGCCCACCCCGGGAGACGGAGACCGGAGGAGCCGGAAGGGGACGAGUUUGAGGAAAAUCCCUUUUUUAGGGGAGGGAUGUUGGGGGAGCCCUAGACGGAUCCGCAUCCUAGGACCUGGAGGUUUGAGAGGUCUGCGCCUGCCUGCGAGGACACCUUAAACGGUGCAGCCGUGAUAACAGGACAGGACGUGGUGUGUGUGCCCCAGUAAUGAUAUGGGAUUCCUAAGGCAUCUUGGUUGCUGCCAGACACCAAGGGCACCUUAACUACCUCUCUGCCAGCCUGGGAGUGGACCCACAACUGCUUUCCCAGCCCUCUGGGUACAAGGAGAAGGGAGCCCCAAAACUCAAGCUGUCGCUGGAGCUUCUUGCAUCUUUUCAAGCUGUCAUCUCCUGCAGGUUUUGGACUAUGGAUACAACUCUCCACAAAAAGUCAUACCCAAGCGAGUUUGAUGCCUGUCCUGUCAGGUGUCUCUGCUGCUUGGUCCUGAAGGCCGUGGAGGACUGGCGGCCCAGCUCGUCCUGGUGCUUGUCUGCUGAGAUGUGCAGAAUUUCCAGAACUGAAUAUGGGGCAUCUGGUGUUGAUCUCAUUUUUUUGUUGGAUGCUAAUCAGAAGAUUAUAUCAAAUGGCCCUGAAAAAAGACAGAGAAACCAUGGGACACAGGUAUAUUGAAGUAUUCUAGUCCCACAGAAAUGAAGCAGGUGGGUAUUGAAGCACAGUGAAACAUACUGUAUUAGUCAAGACAGCUGGUUUUAUAGGAAACCUCUACUGAUUCCAGCCUAACCUUACACGGGGAAUCCAGGAACAACGAAUAGCUGUUUUUAUAGAAGUGGAAGCUGUGUAACCAAUUUGCACCAUGAACUUGUGAAAUCAGUUGUUUAUUUUUUUAGAAUCCCUUUUCAGUAUUUUGUAAUGCCUCAAAAUGCUUCUUGCAUGUUGAGCUUAUUUCAAUUUAUAUUGUAGUGGCAUACCUCAGCAGUUGUAUAUUUAUAUUGAAGUAAUUUCAGUUUUGUGAAAUAACUUUUAUACCAUACUCAUCUAAACACAUUCGGGAGACAUGCUUUAAAAAAAUUCUAUUAAAGGUCUUAGAUCCAUAAUAUUUUAAAAAUUUGAUGCUUUUUUCCUUCUAAUCUUUUUUUUUCCCCCAUUUAAAAUCCUUUAAGGUAACUUCAGAUUUUACAACAUUAAAUUUGAAAAUUGAAAUAUAAUACCAGUACUGUUGGGUUUUGGUCUUUGUGACUAUGUGAAAUUGUGAAGCCUUAAUUUAAGCUUCUCUUUUUAUCAUUAGUUCCUUUUAGGUGUGCUUUGCUAAGUGAAACAUUUAAUAAUUUUGUUAGCAAAUUAAAUUAUUUUUCAAAGAAAGACUCAGGAUUCAGGAUAUAGUUGUGCUUGUGGCCAUGACUUAUUACCACAUAAGGAGGCAGAGUAGAAUCAGCAAAAAGGAAAAAAAGUGCCUGGGAUGAAGUCCAGAGGUAACUGGACAUGAGCUUCCCAGAAUCCUCUGUUAGUGGACUCCCACAGGAUGCGCUGAAUUCCCCCGACAACUAGCUGCAGUACUCAUGGGAAGUGUUGUCUACCAGGGAAGUUUAUCAAAGGCUAGGAGUCCAGGGUGUUUCUUGGGGGUCAGUCAUGGAGGCAACAUGGUACCCAUAUGAUUGAUGAGGGAAGCAGGUGUUCAGCAGUGACCACAUCAUUUGUUAGGUUAGGUGUGUAUUGAGCCACUCUUAUCAUUUAGGUGAAGUUUUAUGUGAGCAUAGGCAACUGUUUCCCAGGUAAGUUCUCAGAUACCAGCCAAGGGCCAGUCUUGCAAGCAGGGGGGACUCAGGCCUGCUAUGUUAACUCUUUUUGGCAUGAAAUAUAAAUGGCACAAACACACCAAUAAAAUGACAGAUUGUCAGAGUGGAUUAAAAAAAGACUCAAUGUGUAUAAGAGUCCUUAUGUAUAUGACUACCUAUAAAUAAUAGGUAGUUUUAAAGAGAUGGGAAAAGGUAUAACAUGCAAACAGUAAAAAAAAGGAAUAUCUGAUGUGACUGUAUUGCUAUCAGACAAAGCAGGCUUUUGAACAAUGAAAAUUACCAGAAAUAGCGUAUAUAAUGAAAAAAGACUGAGUAGCCAGAACUAUUUUGAAAAAGGGUAAAAUUGGAGGAAUCACAUUACUACCCAAUUUUAAAACUUACUAUAAGGCUAUUGGAAUCAAGAGGGUAUGGUAUUGGUGGAAGGAUAGACUGGUUAGUGGGACAGAAUAGAGAGUCCAGAAAUUGACACAGACAUGGCCAAUUUUUGACAACAAAUUCAAUGGAAACAAUUUGCAACAGUUCAACGGGAAAAGAAUAGUCCUAUAAAUAAGUGCUGGAACGACCAGAUGUCCAUCUGCAAAUAAAAUGAACCCUAACUGAAACCUCACACUUUACAUAUUAACUCAGAAUGGAUCACAGAUCCAACUAUAAAACUAUAAAGUGAUUUGUUGGUUAAACCCCUUAGGACUAUGUUGAAGUAACAGCAAUGAAAUAUAUCCUAAGAAUACCUCCCUUACGGUGUAUGUAACAUGAUGUGUACCACCGCUGUUAUAAAUGAGGGAACAGGCAAAUAGAAAAUUGGCAACCUAAGGGCGCAGAGUUUGUAAAUGUGUCUCUCAGUGAUGGUUUAUGAGGGAUUUGUGUUGACAGAAGAGAUGGUGAAGAAAGGGAUGGGAUAGGAAGCAAAUGUUUUAGAAGAUAAUUUUUCUCAGGAGGGUCUGGAUAUCGGAAACUUGUUGCUUCUGCUGAUUCUGUUAAUAAAUCACAAUUCCCCAUCUGUA
This is a non-coding RNA of Vicugna pacos (alpaca), 3274 nucleotides long. The record is from RefSeq and is a predicted model, not a curated record. Lineage: Eukaryota; Metazoa; Chordata; Mammalia; Artiodactyla; Camelidae.